This 72-nucleotide transfer RNA is filed under the name Urocitellus parryii (Arctic ground squirrel). RNAcentral's name for it is "Spermophilus parryii (Arctic ground squirrel) tRNA". It matches the Rfam family "tRNA". Rfam says of the family: Transfer RNA (tRNA) molecules are approximately 80 nucleotides in length. Their secondary structure includes four short double-helical elements and three loops (D, anti-codon, and T loops). Further hydrogen bonds mediate the characteristic L-shaped molecular structure. tRNAs have two regions of fundamental functional importance: the anti-codon, which is responsible for specific mRNA codon recognition, and the 3' end, to which the tRNAs corresponding amino acid is attached (by aminoacyl-tRNA synthetases). tRNAs cope with the degeneracy of the genetic code in two manners: having more than one tRNA (with a specific anti-codon) for a particular amino acid; and 'wobble' base-pairing, i.e. permitting non-standard base-pairing at the 3rd anti-codon position. The record is from Rfam by way of RNAcentral. RNAcentral also lists the same sequence under 1 other name. Lineage: Eukaryota; Metazoa; Chordata; Mammalia; Rodentia; Sciuridae.
GGAGGUGUGGCUCAGUGGUAGAGCGCUUGCCUGGCACAUGUGAGGCACUGGGUUCGAUUCUUAGCACCACCU